This 46-nucleotide non-coding RNA is filed under the name Schistosoma curassoni. The record is from RNAcentral. Lineage: Eukaryota; Metazoa; Platyhelminthes; Trematoda; Strigeidida; Schistosomatidae.
GCACUACUGAGGAGUCCCACAAUGGGACGAAACGGAAUUCCAGUAC